RNAcentral lists this long non-coding RNA (397 nucleotides) under Lactuca sativa (garden lettuce). RNAcentral's name for it is "long non-coding RNA (LSAT_LNC000851)". Lineage: Eukaryota; Viridiplantae; Streptophyta; Magnoliopsida; Asterales; Asteraceae. The record is from RNAcentral.
UACUAGAAAAAUGAAACAUACAUUGAUUCAGUUCAUUCAUGAGUCAGUACGAGUAAUACAUACAGUACAUUAUAGCUAGUAUGCACAGUACAAUACUAUACAUGCUAGAUAGAGAGAACAUACAUUAUAGCCAGCACAUGCAGAACAUUUCAGUACAUUACUAUACAUGCUAGAUAGAGAGAACAUACAUUACAGCUAGCACACACAGAACAUUUCAGUACAUGCAGGCUAGACAGAGAAAGAAUACACUUUUCAGUUAGCACAUUCAUUACAUGUACAUUUAUGCAGUUAUGUGAACCAUUAAGCGGGUCAUGGCACUUCCUGCCAUGACUGUUUUUGAAUCCCGAAUCUCCUUAAUUGGGGAGCGUGUGAGUUUGCAUAUAGAUCUAUACUAGAU